This 759-nucleotide ribosomal RNA is filed under the name uncultured archaeon. Its description in RNAcentral is "bacterial SSU rRNA". It matches the Rfam family "Archaeal small subunit ribosomal RNA", at positions 564 to 1321 of the family's 1478-position model. The record is from RNAcentral.
UAUUAGGCUUCCAGGGGAUACUGUUAGACUUGGGACCGGGAGAGGUAAGAGGUACUGCAGGGCUAGGAGUGAAAUCUUGUAAUCCCUGUGAGACCACCAGUGGCGAAGGCGUCUUACCAAAACGGGUCCGACGGUGAGGGACGAAAGCUGGGGGCACGAACCGGAUUAGAUACCCGGGUAGUCCCAGCUGUAAACGAUGCUCGUUAGGUGUCAGGAACGGUGCGACUGUUUCUGGUGCCGAAGGGAAGCCGUGAAACGAGCCACCUGGGAAGUACGGCCGCAAGGCUGAAACUUAAAGGAAUUGGCGGGGGAGCACUACAACGGGUGGAGCCUGCGGUUUAAUUGGACUCAACGCCGGAAAACUCACCGGGGGCGACAGCAAUAUGUAGGUCAGGUUAAAGGUCUUACCUGAAUCGCUGAGAGGAGGUGCAUGGCCGUCGUCAGUUCGUACUGUGAAGCAUCCUGUUAAGUCAGGCAACGAGCAAGACCCGUGCCCACUGUUACCAGCAUAUCCUUUAUGGAUGAUGGGGACUCUGUGGGGACCGCUGCUGCUAAAGCAGAGGAAGGUGCGGGCUACGGUAGGUCAGUAUGCCCCGAAUCUCCCGGGCUACACGCGGGCUACAAUGGUUGGGACAAUGGGUAUCUACUCCGAAAGGAGUUGGCAAUCUCUUAAACCCAAUCGUAGUUCGAAUUGAGGGCUGUAACUCGCCCUCAUGAAGCUGGAAUCCGUAGUAAUCGCGUUUCAACAUAGCGCGGUGA